This 2060-nucleotide ribosomal RNA is filed under the name Hemiolia trepidum. RNAcentral describes it as "partial small subunit ribosomal RNA". It matches the Rfam family "Eukaryotic small subunit ribosomal RNA". The record is from RNAcentral. Lineage: Eukaryota; Euglenozoa.
AACUGGUUGAUUCUGCCAGUCGUUAUAUGCUUCGUUCAAGGAUUAAGCCAUGCAUAUGUCUGAACAAGUGAGAGGGCUUCGGUCCUCAAAGCAAGUCUGUGAACAGCUCAUUAAAACAGUUAGAAUGAGCACGGUGAGUAAAUGAGUAUAUCGCAACGGAGGACAACCAAUCUAACUGACUGGCUAACACGGUUGCAAAAGACGCACUCUUGGUGGUCCUGGCUUGGAUGGGUGACCAGAAAAGCCUCAUCAUGGUGCGCAUCCAGGUGCUUCAAAAAUCGUUACGGGUCAAACCGCUGGAUCGUCGUUGACACAAUCUGGGGGAAUGUGUGGACAUCUUUGUCGCACCGUGUAUGUUUCUGAUCCAUCAGCUGGUUGGUUGCGAAAAGAGCACUCAAAGCAUUCACGGAUACAGGGAAUCAGGGUUCGACUCUGGAGAGGGAGCCUGAGAAACGGCUGCCACUACCAAGGUUGGCAGCAGGCGCGAAAACUACCCAAAUGGCAGCACUGCUGAGGUGGCAACGAAGAGUAGCAUGAGGAAGAGUCAUUUAAUCUGCCUGUUUGCAAUGAGCGUUCAAACAAAUAUAUCACUGAGGAUCAAAUGGAGGGCAAGUCUGGUGCCAGCAGCCGCGGUAAUUCCAGCUCCAUUGGCGUAUGCGAAUGCUGCUGCUGUUAAAAAGCUCGUAGUUUGUCUUCAGCAUGAGGUGCCAUUUGCUUGGCUCGCCGACGCAGUUCGCUGCUGACGUGAACCAAACCAAGCAUUGGCAAUCGCCUCAUGCGUGGACUGAACUCGAACUGUGGAAACAUCCUUUGCUGUGUUGCGGAAAUCGUCUUACGAAAAUCAUACGUGUAAUGUGAAGUGAAGAAUAUCGCCGUGAGAUAACCAGCGUGUUCAAGGCAUCCUAACCUUUUGGCAACCGGACGAAUGGUCAAGCAUGGUACGGUGCGGGAGCGAACCUCAACAGCAAGAGUUUGAUCGAUUUUGGACUGUGGAGGCAUAUCAGGGUAAUGCGUUCAGUGUGCCGUCAAACGUGCGACAUUGACCCUACCCUUCGGAACCAAGAGAGAUGAUUGUAGUUCUUGGUAUUAACCCCAGAGGAGUGAAACCCUGUGACGUCGAUACGACUCCCCGAUGCGAAGGCGUUGGGCAGGGAGCGCGGUUGUUGAUCAAGAACGUGAGUUUGGAGAUCGAAGAUGAUUAGAUACCGUCGUAGUCCAUACCGUAAACCGUGCGAACCAAUGUUCUGUGAGUCCGCUUGACGGAUCCAGUCCCUUGGGACGUACGCAAAACCAAUCUAUUCAUUGUGGCGCGAAAGCUGGAGUCUCCACGCUCAGGGGGAAGUAUGGUCACAAGGCUGAAACUUAAAGAAAUUGACGGAAUGACACCACCAGGCGUGGGGUGUGCGGCUUAAUUUGACUCAACGCGGGGAAGUUUAUCAGGUCCGGAUGCUGGCUGGAUUGACAGUGUGAUGGUGCUUUCAUGAUUCAGCAAAUGGUGGUGCAUGGCCGUUCCUAGUUGGUGAGGUGACUUGUCUGCCUGAUUGCGAUAACGAACGAGAUCUUUGUGGCUUAAUAGAUUGUGGUCUCGUUUUAGGAGGCUUCCUUGUGUUGCCUCUGAGGGACCAUGCAACUGCUUUGCCGGGCUGCGUGCGAUAUCAAGUACGAUUAAAAGAGGCGAUAGCAGGUCUGUGAUGCUCCUCGACGUUCUGGGCUGCACGCGUACAACACUGAAACAGGAAGCGCGUUAGCCUUCAAUUGAAACCUGCUCUGAGGAGAGUGGGAAAUCGUAAAACUGAGUCGUGAUGGGGACAGCAUUAUUGCAAAUCUUACGCUCGAACGAGGAAUGCCUCGUAAAGGUCGCUCAUCAGACAGCCUUGAUUAUGUCCCUGCCAUUUGUACACACCGCCCGUCGUUGCUACCGAUGAUUUGAAUGUAGAGGCGGAGAGAAACUGGCUAUAGCUUCGUGCUGAGUACUAUAUUGAAUUCCACCAAUACGUCCCCGUUAGAGGAAGCAAAAGUCGUAACAAGGUUGCUGUAGGUGAACCUGCAGCAGGAUCAAU